UUCACAUCUCCAAAACAUUUGCUCUGUAUGAUAUCUAACACCUUGAAAACCUGAAAGACAGAUUCCCAAGUGCAUUAAAAAUAUUUUGUGGAUCUGGAAACUGAUAUCUUAAGUACAUCCUUAAUUUGAAAUUCUGUAUUUUCUAGUAAAAUCGUGUAUAUUCUACAAGAUGUGAAAAUGAAGUUAAAGAAAACAUUAUAUCAGUUGUAGUCAUAAAGCAGUAUAAGGAAUGACUUUGUAGCAAAAUACUAGAAAGUAUAUACCGUACUCAGAGCUAUUAUUUCCAGUAGUAAAUUUGUGCUCCUCCACUUACUCAGUUGUAUCCUCUUAACAUUUAAAGAUAAUGUCUCAUUGGCCUGCACCUUCUUCAGUUGCUACCUGGGGAACACAAGAAACAGGAAGACGGCCCUUCCAAUUGGUCAUAAGCGCUCUGAAGACAUUUACAUCUAAACAAAGGGAAGUGAAUAUAAUACUUCAAAGCAAGAAAUGAAAGAGCUGAGUGAAUAAAAAACAAAUUGCUGCAUUUUCAAAUGUCACAGUAGAACCAUAUGGCAUCUGACCUAGGAAAAAUUCUCCACUAGAAUGACUCUUCCUGUCCCCAUUCCUUCACUGAGAAAUGGCCUCCUGCUGCUCUUGCUGGUGCACAGGUAGACUGUACCGUGACGUUAUUUGAUGUUCAGUGAACUGCGAGCUGUGCUGAAAAGAAUGGAUCUUGACAGCCUCUUCAACUUCUAUUGCCUCCUUUUUUCUGUCAAAAGUACCUACCUAUAUUAGCUUCUGGGAACCUCUCUUCUUUGCUGUUGUGCUCUGCAUUUUAUUGAUGAAUUUGUAAUACAGCUUAGACUACUAAGAAUUACAAAGAUUGAUUAGGAUUUCUAAAAAUGUUCCUCUCAUCUCUGGUUGUCUGAUGUGAUGCUUUGAGGCCAGGAACAAAAGCAGCAUGAAGGAUGCUAGCAAAGGAGAAAGCAGAGGUGAGAGCCUUGGUGGAAAUACACCCUCCCUCGGGACUUUUUAUAUUAGGGAUAAUUUAACCCUUUAUUUUUUAAGGCAAAUUGACUUUAAGUUUCUCUUGAUUUCAAAUAAUAGUUAACAAAAUAAUAUAGCGGAUAAGCUAAUUUAGAGAGUAUUUAGUGGAUUAAUAGGUAGCUAUUAAUUUGAUUAAUUGGUAGCUACAACUUGUAUUGAUUAUUAAUUUGCCUCUAUAAUAUACAUGACAUGAGAAUUAUAUUUGCAUUGCAUCAUAACUUUUAAUUUAUCUCUUCUGCACUGUAAGUUCCAAGAAGUUAAAUAACAGUGUUUGCAUUAUAGUCAAUAACCCUACACCUAUUACAGUUUGUGGUAAAAAGUAGGUAUUCCCUAACACUUUGUAAGAAGAAAAGAAGAAAUAAGAGAGGAAGGAAGAAUAGAGGGCAGAGUGGAAAUCAGUCCACCAUUGUUCCUAACUCAGAGACAGGGAGUAAGUACAGUAAUUAAAUUAUUGUGAAUACUUUAAAAAUACAAUAAAAAUUGUACAAACAGCCCAAAGAAUAUCCAUUAUGAGUCUUUUAAAUGUUAACAUGGAAUGCAUUUUUUAAAUAAAAAUAAAAGGAUUACAGAACGAUAAUACAAGAUAAAAGUUGUUUUGAAAUUUUACUCAACCUGAACAUGUAAGGCAUAAACUCACUCUUUGUCUAAUAUAUAGUAAGUACAAGUUACAAAUGCUGCAUUCAACAUUAAAAGCUGUAUCUGUUUUAGGAUGACCUUAUUAACAAUCACUACA
This 1759-nucleotide long non-coding RNA is filed under the name Homo sapiens (human). RNAcentral's name for it is "HSALNT0191926". The record is from RNAcentral. Lineage: Eukaryota; Metazoa; Chordata; Mammalia; Primates; Hominidae.